UCCACAGUUUCCCGAAGCUUCCACCAAAAUGCAGUUUGCACUGACCAUCGCCAUGGACUCCGUGGGAGCCCUUGUGCCUUGCUGCUUGCUUCUUGUCAAGUCCACAACAAUGUGAUCUCCAAGUGUCCCUAUUGAGUACUACUUCUUUGUGACCAAAAUGCCUGAUUCUGUUUUCUUCAGACACUGCCAAAUGAAUCCUGUUUCAUAUGCCCAGACUUCAAAAUUCUAAAGCAAAUGACCUGUGCUAUGACCUUUCAACAGAUGGUCCAACCUAUUUUACAGAAACAACACCAACGAGAGUCCUAGAAAGGCUAUUAAUGAGAUCCUGCUUCAUUUCUCUCAGGAGUUUUAUACUUGUCUCUUAGCUGUUUAGGAACCUAUUAUAUUCAUUAAUACUGAACAAAAGGAAG
Phyllostomus discolor (pale spear-nosed bat) is the source of this 410-nucleotide long non-coding RNA. RefSeq lists it as uncharacterized. The transcript is spliced from 3 exons. NCBI's taxonomy places the organism in Eukaryota, Metazoa, Chordata, Mammalia, Chiroptera, Phyllostomidae. The record is from RefSeq and is a predicted model, not a curated record.